This 1404-nucleotide unclassified non-coding RNA is filed under the name Hevea brasiliensis (rubber tree). The record is from RNAcentral. Lineage: Eukaryota; Viridiplantae; Streptophyta; Magnoliopsida; Malpighiales; Euphorbiaceae.
AUAUACAAAGAGUCCUAUAAUUAAGUAUUCUAAUUAGAAAGAGAUCCCAAUAAUUAUGCUAACUAAUUAAUAAAGAAUAUUAUGUACAUAAUUAUAGGAUUGACUUUCUAUAACACUAGUAUUAGGUUGUACGCCAUAGCAAAAUCCAUGAUGCUUUUUCCCUCCUCAUUUCGGCUGCCAAAACCAAAACUUCCAUGAACAUUCUCAUAACCUUACCUAUCACUUCCUACAUGUCCAUUUAAAUCUCCACCGAUGAGAACAUUCUUUUCAUUCUCAAAAAUGAAAAUGAAAUGAAAUUCCUGAAAUAGAAUAUUCAGAUGACAUCCAUUCCAAAGCAAAACCAGCACGCCCUUAGCUCCUUGGGACUUUUGGCCACACGAAGUGGCCCUUAAACUUACUAGUUACUUUUGUAUGGUAAUUAGGCUCUUUCUUGAGCAUUAACAUUUAGGAAAGAAAUUGCAGAAGGUUCUUAGGAAGACAUUUAAAGAACACAUACAGCAUAUGGUACCAGAAUUAACAGAUGGGGUAUAACCGAUGCCAUUUCUGAUGAACUUGAGGUCUGGAUGUUCAUAUAAAGCUGGACCUUAAGCAAAGUGAUGUUGAUUUCCGGUGGCAAUUGAACAUUUAUACAAAGAUGAUUAAUACAAAACAAAUUCUCACACUCAGUGCUAAUAUGUCAUCACUGUUUCAAUGAAGAAUUCAGAUUUCCAAGGCAUAAUGGAAUCAUAUAUUUUGCCAUUAUGCUAGAGAAAGAAAUAAGAAAAGCUCCAGUUGAGACUUUUGCAAGAAGAAUAGUCAAUUGGUACAGGAAUCUGUAUUUGAACAACACUAAUUUUAUAAUGCCACUGAUGCUACAUAAACUCAUUCUUAAAUAUUUGUAAUUCAAAAUUGAAGGUUAAUGAUGCUGAGUACUAGCAAAAAGAAAGGACUGACCAGAACAGAAUACAAUCCUCAUUAAGCUUCUGCUUCCCAUGGAAGAUUUUGCUAAGCAAUGGUAAAGCAGUUAAGGACCUUUGACUCACUGAAUGCUAUAUUUACUGCUGAUAUUACCUUUUCCCCCUUUUGAAAGAUAUAACCAAUUCCAAUUGUUAAUGGAAGGGAGGUUGACAUAUUUGGACUUUGGACAUAUGCAUUUUAGGCCAGUAAAUUGGUUGGUAUGGAAAGUUAAUUGCACAAGAGAAAUAAAGAGAGCGGUAAAACUUUGGGAUUAAAGCUUAGUUGAGUGAAAAAGAAACAAUCAAUUUUCAGCAGCAACAGUGUUGGGAUAAAAUGGAAAAAUUCUUGAUUAGUUAAGUGUAGACACGUUAAUAUGCUGGUUACUAGUUGUUACUAGAGUGUUGGAGCAAAGGCUAAUAAAGAAUCAGCUACUAACACACCCAUAAAGAAUCAGCUACUAACACACCC